This is a microRNA precursor of Ictalurus punctatus (channel catfish), 63 nucleotides long. Lineage: Eukaryota; Metazoa; Chordata; Actinopteri; Siluriformes; Ictaluridae. The record is from Ensembl.
GUCGAGUUCGCUUUCCUGAUUCAAAGUCGCAUUUACUUUCUUGAUUCAGAGUCGAGCUCGCUU